RNAcentral lists this ribosomal RNA (254 nucleotides) under uncultured bacterium. RNAcentral describes it as "partial 16S ribosomal RNA". It matches the Rfam family "Bacterial small subunit ribosomal RNA", at positions 524 to 776 of the family's 1533-position model. The record is from RNAcentral.
UACGUAGGGAGCAAGCGUUGUCCGGAAUCAUUGGGCGUAAAGCGCGCGUAGGUGGCUUCGUAAGUCCGUUGUGAAAGUCAAAGGCUCAACCUUUGAAAGCCGAUGGAUACUGCGGAGCUAGAGUACGGAAGAGGCGAGUGGAAUUCCCGGUGUAGCGGUGGAAAUGCGCAGAUAUCGGGAGGAACACCUAUGGCGAAGGCAGCUCGCUGGGACGGUACUGACGCUGAAACACGAAAGCGUGGGUAGCAAACAGG